RNAcentral lists this ribosomal RNA (671 nucleotides) under uncultured bacterium. RNAcentral's name for it is "bacterial SSU rRNA". It matches the Rfam family "Bacterial small subunit ribosomal RNA", at positions 93 to 740 of the family's 1533-position model. The record is from RNAcentral.
UAGUGGCGGACGGCUGAGUAACGCGUAGGUGACCUACCUCCGAGAUUGGGAUAACUUGUCGAAAGACGGGCUAAUACCGAAUAAGACCACGAAGGCUAAGGCUUUUGGGGUAAAAGGUGGCCUCUGCUUGCAAGCUACUACUUGGAGAUGGGCCUGCGUGCCAUUAGCUAGUUGGCGGGGUAACGGCCCACCAAGGCGAAGAUGGCUAGCUGGUCUGAGAGGAUGGCCAGCCACACUGGGACUGAGACACGGCCCAGACUCCUACGGGAGGCAGCAGUGGGGAAUAUUGCGCAAUGGGCGAAAGCCUGACGCAGCGACGCCGCGUGGGUGAUGAAGGCCUUCGGGUCGUAAAGCCCUGUCAGGAGGGACGAAACCUCGACGAUCGAAUACGUCGUCGACUUGACGGUACCUCUGAAGGAAGCACCGGCUAACUCCGUGCCAGCAGCCGCGGUAAUACGGAGGGUGCGAGCGUUGUUCGGAAUUACUGGGCGUAAAGCGCGUGUAGGCGGCUUCCUAAGUCUGGUGUGAAAGCCCGGGGCUCACCCCCGGAAGUGCACUGGAAACUGGGAAGCUAGAGUACCGGAGAGGAGGGUGGAAUUCCUGGUGUAGCGGUGAAAUGCGUAGAUAUCAGGAGGAACACCGGUGGCGAAGGCGGCCCUCUGGACGGAUAC